Molecule: long non-coding RNA, 1763 nt
Organism: Oncorhynchus kisutch (coho salmon)
Lineage: Eukaryota; Metazoa; Chordata; Actinopteri; Salmoniformes; Salmonidae
Exons: 2
Source: RefSeq, a predicted model, not a curated record
AUGUGAAGCCUCCACUUUGGUGCUUAACAUUCCAACGGAUGGGGCAUGUUGCUAAUGUGUGCAAAGGUAAAAUGAGCUGUGCAACGUGCGGUGGGGAUCACGAGUAUGGGAAAUGAUCAGAGAUGGAAACUCGAGUCGCGAUUAAGAAAAGAAAAUGACUUGCGACUUGAUUUAGACUUGUGAUCAAUUGACUUGUGACCUGACUUGGACUCUAGAUGAAAGACUUCUGAACAAUGCAAGUCAGUACUGGGAUACGUUUUAGUUGUGCAUUCUGUCAGAUAACAUGGAACAGGCGGCGUUGUAACACGGAGAAAGUAGUUUAAUACAGAGGGUUGAAAAGCGUUCUAGAACAUCUGCGUCAUUUGUACGUGACUGUAGUACUACGGCUGAACAAUCGUAAUCAGGAACGAUGUCAUCAGGUGGUGAAGCUUUUGUUAUUACAUUUGGUUACAAGAACCUGCAGUAUAAUGCCAGUGCCAAAAAAAUGAAAUGCUGUUUGCAAAACUUGUGGAAUUAACAUUAAAGAUGCUGGCGCAACUACAGUACAUCUAACUUCAUCCGACAUGUGAAAACUCACCGCGAAAGGUUCACUGAAUUCUGCAAAGCAAAGGUGACCAGCACAGGGACAGAAGGACAGAGCAGCGUGUAGAGCCAGGGCCACCCCAGACAGAAGGCUAUAACAGAGGCUAUACUGCAAGACCUGAUCAUUUCCUGCAACCUGCCUAUGUCCUUAGUGGACAACCCUCACUUUAGGCAUUUCAUGUCAGUGGUAGGUGACAAAUAUUGACCAGUAAGUAGGCCCACGUUGACCAGGUGCCUGCAUGACUUAACACUGAACAAAAAGGCUACAAUCAAAAGUGCCCUAGAACAGACAGAAUCAGUGUCUGUCACUGUAGAUAUAUGGACUGACAGGACCAUGAGGGGCUUCAUGGGAGUAAUGGCUCAUUACAUGGCCAUGGAAGAGGGGAAAAAAACACCCAGACUGGAGUCAGUUCUGUUGAGCUGUGAUAGAUUCACAUGGUCACACACUGGGGAAAGAACAUUUGACAUUUAAUAUGUGAUAACUCUGAAAAAAUGAAAAAGGCCUUCAUAGUUUGUUUCCCCAAAGCAAUCAAUGAUGAUGAUGUGGAUAACCCCAGCAUAUGGGAAGAAUUUGGUGAAGAUUACAAUGUUGAUGUAGAAGCUAUCCAAACCAACUGCAGGUAACAGCACUUACAGUGCUUUGCCCAUUCAUUACAACUGGUGAUUAGAGAUGGACUAAAGGAAACAAAAAUCAUAAACAGUGUGAUGUUUAAGGUAAAUCAACUUUUGUUUACUUUUUGUGUUUAGUCAUGGAGGCCUCAUCAUGCGCCCUCAUCGUGCCAGACUCACUGCAAGAACGCUGACAAACUUGAUCUUUCUGAAAUGUAACCUGUCUGCAACAUAAAUAUUCUCUCUCUUAGGGCACAGGAUGUAAUUAGCUACUUGUUACAGGAAAUGGUAUUUAUGUUAAGUGUUCAGGUUAGUAAGUAUAUUUUAGGGAUAAAGGUCAUUAUGUUUGAUAUAUAGGACACUUUAGUAGUGCAGUUAUUGAACAGUUGUCAGUCAUUUUGGUUUACAUUCAUGCUUGUCAUUUAUCUUCCCUCACCUACAGAUUCUGUUUGUGUGACACAAAAUACCAUGCACUUUAAAAUGUUAUGUUUGCUUUUUUAAAUAUUCGGUACAAUUACUUUUAUUAAAUGUAAACUGUCUACAUUUUAAAAGGAAAUGUAUUUGGAUUGAAA